AACUGUCAUAUUUCAUUGGAAAAUGAGAAGAAAGAUAGGAAACUAAGUCGAUCUCUGUCAGCAUCUGCUACUUUUCCUGAAUCGUGUUUCUCAAAAAUUCAAACCCCUGACUCAAGAAAAAAUUCAUACGAUGCCUCUCCUUUCGGGUCUCAUACCUCUGACGACACUAAACUGAAUUUUCAGUUGAAUCCUGUGUCAUGCGAGACUGUUGACACCUCGGAAGCAUUGUUAUUUUCUGAUGUUGAAAAGUGCCUAACAAACAAUCGAAGCCUGAGCUGUGCAAGUGAUGAUAGUGCGAGCCGGCCCACCAGAUUAUGCACUUCCAAAU
This 328-nucleotide long non-coding RNA is filed under the name Bemisia tabaci. Its description in RNAcentral is "lncRNA ENSSSA1NGG013811". The record is from RNAcentral. Lineage: Eukaryota; Metazoa; Arthropoda; Insecta; Hemiptera; Aleyrodidae.